This 1048-nucleotide long non-coding RNA is filed under the name Lonchura striata (white-rumped munia). RNAcentral's name for it is "domestica (Bengalese finch) lncRNA (ENSLSDG00000008283.1)". Lineage: Eukaryota; Metazoa; Chordata; Aves; Passeriformes; Estrildidae. The record is from RNAcentral.
UGCCAGCAUCCCGGAGCUGGCCCAGCCCAGGGCUGGAGGGGGAGCGCUCACCGGAAUGGCUUUGUGCUUCCCGGCUCCUGGCCGGGGACAAAACGGGAGGAGGAGAGCCGGGAAGUGUGUGAGUGUGUGUGUGUGUGUGUGUGUGUGUUUGUGUGGUGUGUGUGUUUGUGUGUGUGUGUGUCUGUGUGUGUGUCUGUGUGUGUCUGUGUGUGUGUCUGUGUGUGUUUGUGUGGUGUGUGUGUCUGUGUGUGUGUUUGUGUGUGUCUGUGUGUGUGUGUCUGUGUCUCUGUGUGCGUGUGUGUGUCUGUGUGUAUCUGUGUGUGUGUGUUUGUGUGUGGGUGUGGGUGUGUUUGUGUGUUUAUGUGUUUGUGUGGGUGUGUCUGUGUGUGUGUCUGUGUGUCUCUGUGUCUGUGUGUGUGUCUGUGUGUGUGUGUGUGUCUGUCUGUCUGUGUGUCCAACCUCCUCUCUGCCCGCCUGGCACGCGGCUCUUGCCUUUUCCUGCACAGGGGAUGGCGAGCUUGGAAAGCAAAUAGCGAGUGGGGCUUGUGUAGCUCAUCCUCCUUGGAGCUGGAAGUCCACAGGGACAUGGGGACACUCCUCGGACCCAGCCCUGUCACCUCACGCUGUGCACCCGCUGGAGGACAGCACCGAGGCUCCUCUCUGGCCACCACCCGCACCAGCAGCGGCACAGAGCGCUCGGAUCCCGGCCCGGGCUUGCCCUGCAUCCCGCAGGAUGAAGGAUGCUGUGGGAGGCUCCUUCCAGCCGAGAUCCCCCGGGCUGUGCUCCCCUCCUCUGGCCUUGCCAUUAGCCUCUAACCAGGCGGAACGAAUGGGCAGGAGAGGCUGCGAUCCCGCCGCCAGAGCAUUACUCUUGUUAUUAAUAUUAUCGUUAUUAUCAUUAUUAUUCUCAGCCACUGAGAGCUGCAAGGGACCCAUGGGGUCAGCACCCUGGUCCAACUCUGAAAGCAUCCAAACCAUGGAAAGGUCCUGCCUGGCCCCAGCUGGGGGUCCCAGAUCACCCCCAGCCCCACCCGGGCACCCAGCUCUG